UGACUGCCUAGAGCAGACUCUGGCAACUAGC
This 31-nucleotide non-coding RNA is filed under the name Rattus norvegicus (Norway rat). The record is from RNAcentral. Lineage: Eukaryota; Metazoa; Chordata; Mammalia; Rodentia; Muridae.